This is a long non-coding RNA of Corvus hawaiiensis (hawaiian crow), 3333 nucleotides long. RefSeq lists it as uncharacterized. Lineage: Eukaryota; Metazoa; Chordata; Aves; Passeriformes; Corvidae. The record is from RefSeq and is a predicted model, not a curated record. The transcript is spliced from 3 exons.
CCUGCGCGCCUCGCGCUGCCGGAAAGGGCGGCCCCGCCGGCGCCCUCAGCCCCGCGGGCGGGACGCGGCACCCGGUGCGCGGGAGGGAAAGCGGUGAAGUGAAACCCUCCCGAGCUGGAAGGCAGCAGUAAGUUCUCGUAAACAGAGGAGAGGGCGGAAAUAAGAGUUGCUUUCCGGCUGCCAGACGCUCCAUGUAAAAGGAAGUGCUCGUAGGAUGCAGGACAUGUGGAAGUAUCAUGAAUGUUUGAGCAGAAAAAAACCCAUUACCUUAGGUCUCUUUUAAUCGCUGCUCUUCUUGUGGAUCAAAUUCAUGUUGGAUUGCUCUUGACAAUGACAUGUCCUUUGAAAAAUCUCUUCGUUUGAACAGCUGUUUGACUGACAGGGUCAUGAACCUGCCCGACCUCCUGAGAGUAACAAAGAAGAUGAAAGACGAACUGUAAGAAGCAAACCCACCAUAUGGCCUGACUGGAGAAGAGAUCAAGGUGCAGUCAAGUGGUGAGUUGUCACAUUCUGCCCGGGGACUCUGACAUGUCUGCAUCCAUCACAUUUGCCAGGUCAUGUGAUAAAAGUUCAUCUGCACACUCAGUGAAGAGCACAGAGAGACCACUCUCGUCAGCUAUACAGUUGGAAAGCCUGGCUGAAAAUCUAAUGAGAGGUGUCUUUUGCAGUCAGAUGUACUUCAUAAGGUAGCAUGCCAUUACGGUCAACACACUGAGAGAAGCAACAUUAAGCUGGGUUACUGAACUAAUGAAACAUCCCAAAGAGUACACCAGCACCAUGAUAAAAAUUGUAUUUUAGUAUCAAAAAUCAAGAAGCUAAGGGUUUUUUAUUACAGUGAUCAAAUUCAUUUGACCAUGUUACUGUUUUCUAAAAGAGAAAAGAAGUGGUAUUUUGCUCUAGUAAGUCAAUAGAUCAGCCUCAAGAUCUUUUUCAGUUCAUUAAUCAAGUGAACUCAAUCCAUUCAUUUGGAACAAAUCCGUCUCAGCUGAUGCUCAUAAGUCUACCUAAUGAAUAAGCCUUUGGAGCUGCUUGGAUGUGGCUGCCCUUGCACAUACCUGCUUGGAACAAGGAAUGUGUUUAUGCCUGCUGUGCAGCUACUCUCCAGCUGACCAGCUCCUCAGACCCCCACUUGUUGAUGGUAGCUCCUGUCAGCUGCCUUUGGUCCUUGUUCCCUGAUGAGAAGCAGCUCUCCAUUUCCAGCUUGACCUUGCACCAGCCUUCCUCAACAGGGAAGACCAGGCUACUGAAGCUCUCAUCCAUUACCCCUCUGCCAGCUGUGGCACUUGGAUUGGUUUGGGGGAUGGUAUAAGCCUUCUCAGAGUGCAGCUGGCAACAUACACUGGCUUCCACCAAGAAGGAGACGUUCAGCCUCAGCCACAGCAUAAACUCUUUACUGUGGUACUGUUCUUAAACCUUCUCAAUACAUACACAAAAUCUUCAGUUAAAAUAUCAAUAGGAGGUCUGAACUGAUCCAUAAGAUAUAUUGAACUAGAAAAGAGCAGAGAGACCCCUAAAGGAGAGAUCCUUUGGAAGGCUGUAGCACUAGGAUUAAGUCUCUGGGCAGCAGCUCACUUCCUUAAAAAAAUUUUUAGAAAUAAAACUUUAAAAAAGUACAUACAGCUCAUAUUACUGAGUAUGGAAAGGAGCAUAACAGUACUGGAAACACGAUGGCCUUACCCAAUUCUGAUCCACUUGGUGGCUGGAUCUGAAGCAUAAUGGCCUGCUUGAUUUUGGAGCUUUUAUGAUGGGAAAAGUCCUUAAGUCUUCUCUCUCUCUGAAUGGGGAACCUGUCUAAGAAGUGAAUCUUCUGGAAACUCAGCACGACAGAAUCCAAGACAUAAUAUUUAUGUUUUGUUUUUCUGGAGCUCUUCAUCCUGUACUGAGGAAGCUGGUAAAUUAAUCUUACUGUUGUCUUUAAAGGGAAAAUUUUCCUCCAGUUCUGUCGUUAAACUGCCAAGAGAUCAAGCAUAAAGGCAAUGAUAGCCCAGAAAUACCUUGAGGUCCUUUACAUGAACUAUAUUGUAUUGUUCUGCUCCGGGGUAUUCAUGUAGUGGCUGAAUAGAUUUUAUUUAUAGACACAAUUUGCUGUGGACAGUGAAACUCACUUGUUCCUAAUUUUCUGCAGGCCUUAUCAUUCUCCACAUAAAACCAAAACCUUCCAUAAUUCUAUCUCAAAGAGUAAUGCUUUUUCUGUUGUUUUGUUGUUGUUUGCUUGUUUUGGUUUUUUGUUUGGUUUUGUUUUUGCAACUACAGGAUUCUGGGCUUAUUAUCUCAUCUAGAAGACAAUGAUUCUUUGAGCAUAUAUAUCUACCUAGCAAAUAGUUAUUGUACCCUGUCCCCUCCCUCACUUUAGCUUUAGAAGUUGUUGCGAACUUCUAUGGAGAGAAGAGAGGCAGCUAUCAUGCCCAAAUAAUAAGGAAACAUUUCCUAUGAGACAGGUUUAAUUUAAAAGCUGUUGGGUUAUUGGGAUAAGCUACAUCAAACAAAAGAAAUUAUUAUGUCAAAAUAAUAAAAAGUAAUAAAAAUAAUAGAAGUAUUCUGGUUCCACGGGUACUUUUGCAUGAGGUCUUCACUUUGGAUGUUUGUAUAUCAUGUGACUAAAUGUGUGAACAAUUUCUACAGACAAAUUCCCUAUGUCUAUAUGCAGCUGAUAUUUCUAGUACCUUCUGAGACAAAUGUCCAAAGCCUGUUCAGGUAGAAUAACUUUAUGAAAGGAAGAAGCUUCAGGAUGUUUCUGCCAUUUGUUUUCUGACAUCAUCCGCAAACAUUUGGAGCUGUCAGACUUGGAUGCUCUUAUUGGAUCAUCUGUUCUUAGGUCUUAACCACCUGCUUCUUGCUGAACACCAGCUCACAACAAGGAGUUCAGUCUGGUCACAGGAGUAUCCUCACCUCACAUCUACAGUGUUCAGUAUUGACAAAUUGCUCUGGAGCAAGACUUGCAGGGUCUUGUAGAACAACGUGGAAAACUUUUUGAUCUGUACACUUGCUGAGAAGCUUUUCCAAUUAAAAGAUUUUUAUUACUUUGUUAAAUCUUCCAGGUAAGGAGUCUACUUGUAAUUUGAGAAUGAUUCACCAGACUGAGCUUGAACAUUGUAGCGGUCCAGGAGCCUGCAGCAUUUGAAAUGUAGGGAAUGCACAGACAUAAAAAAUGGUGGUAAUUCUCUAACAUUGGAGCAAAUCCUUUCCAUCCCUUGUCAUGGUACAUUUUUUAUGCUUAGGAUGAGGGGUACAAUAAUAGUGGGCUUCUGUUUCCCUUUGCCUUUGGGAAAACUAGUCAUCUGUGGUGAUUCUCUAUUCUAGCAAUAAAAAACUAACCUGUUGUUGUUUUCUGCA